This 74-nucleotide transfer RNA is filed under the name Stegodyphus mimosarum. It matches the Rfam family "tRNA". Rfam says of the family: Transfer RNA (tRNA) molecules are approximately 80 nucleotides in length. The record is from Rfam by way of RNAcentral. Lineage: Eukaryota; Metazoa; Arthropoda; Arachnida; Araneae; Eresidae.
UCCUUCGUUGUGUAAUGGUUAGCACACUUGGUGUGUAUUUCGAGAGAUCCGAGGUUCGAGUCCCGGCGAGGGCA